Molecule: long non-coding RNA, 303 nt
Organism: Clupea harengus (Atlantic herring)
Lineage: Eukaryota; Metazoa; Chordata; Actinopteri; Clupeiformes; Clupeidae
Source: Ensembl
GGUAUCUUCAACUCGAAACCACUGAUCUAAUGUAACGUGAAGUGUUUGAAAUAUAGAAAACACUAGACGUUAUACUUUGCUUAAACAUAGAUUUUCAAGCACAGGGGCUGUCAAGAAAGUUACGUUGUUCAUUGCAGGUGGUUCCGAACUGACAGAAAACCUGUGCGUGAGGUCGCUACAGAGCACAUGAUGUCACCCUCGGGAGCAAAUGCACCCAAGUCCAAGCCCAAGAAGGAGAUUCCCGAAGCACCACUGUUGUGAUCAGUGUGAGAAGACCUUCAGCAAUCUGUGCUACUUUCAUGC